RNAcentral lists this small RNA (30 nucleotides) under Bombyx mori (domestic silkworm). RNAcentral describes it as "ovarian small RNA-16955". The record is from RNAcentral. Lineage: Eukaryota; Metazoa; Arthropoda; Insecta; Lepidoptera; Bombycidae.
GCGGUAGCACUCACCCAUGCGGUCCACCUU